Arvicanthis niloticus (Nile rat) is the source of this 504-nucleotide non-coding RNA. The record is from the annotation of a RefSeq genome assembly. Lineage: Eukaryota; Metazoa; Chordata; Mammalia; Rodentia; Muridae.
AUGCAUCAGAGCAGCAUGGGCAUUAAGAUGGAGUCACAGACCCCAAUCUUCAUAUUCCUAUUGCUCUGGUUGUCUGGUGCUGAUGGAGACAUUGUGAUGACCCAGUAUCCCAAAACCAUGUCCACAUCAGUAGGAGAAAGGGUCAGCCUGACUUGCCAGGCCAGUCAGAAUGUGGGUAGUGAUAUAACCUGGUACCAACAGAAACCAGGGCAUUCACCUAAACCUCUGAUCUAUGGGGCAUCCAACCGGUACACUGGGGUCCCUGAUCGCUUUACAAGCAGUGGAUCUGGAACGGAUUUCACUCUCACCAUCAGCAGAGUGCAGGCUGAAGACACAGCCAUUUAUUACUGUAAGCAGUAUAGCAGCUAUCCUCCCACAGUGCUUCAGCUUCUUACACAAACCUCCUCUGAGAUUUUAACCAGCUGCCUGUACCACACACCCCCAGACCUAUACACUUCCUUUCUGCCUGAGGAUGCUAUGCCUAACUGUUGCAAAGUUUGGUAG